RNAcentral lists this ribosomal RNA (497 nucleotides) under uncultured bacterium. Its description in RNAcentral is "partial 16S ribosomal RNA". It matches the Rfam family "Bacterial small subunit ribosomal RNA", at positions 28 to 507 of the family's 1533-position model. The record is from RNAcentral.
GAUGAACGCUGGCGGCGUGCCUAAUACAUGCAAGUCGAGCGAACAGACGAGGAGCUUGCUCCUCUGACGUUAGCGGCGGACGGGUGAGUAACACGUGGAUAACCUACCUAUAAUACUUGGAUAACUUCGGGAAACCGGAGCUAAUACCGGAUAAUAUAUUGAACCGCAUGGUUCAAUAGUUAAAGACGGUUUUGCUGUCUCUUAUAGAUGGAUCCGCGCCGCAUUAGCUAGUUGGUAAGGUAACGGCUUACCAAGGCGACGAUGCGUAGCCGACCUGAGAGGGUGAUCGGCCACACUGGAACUGAGACACGGUCCAGACUCCUACGGGAGGCAGCAGUAGGGAAUCUUCCGCAAUGGGCGAAAGCCUGACGGAGCAACGCCGCGUGAGUGAUGAAGGUCUUCGGAUCGUAAAACUCUGUUAUUAGGGAAGAACAAAUGUGUAAGUAACUAUGCACGUCUUGACGGUACCUAAUCAGAAAGCCACGGCUAACUACGUG